UCUUUCUUUCUUCAUCUCAUUCAUGUUUUCUCUUCAAAAAAAACCACACAGUUUUCCGACGAGUUUUCCGGUCAACAUUCUCCGUUAACUUCACUCCGGCGAACUAACCGCUUCACUACCUGUUUAGAUCUGAUUAGAUUAGAUUAGAUCAUAACCAAAAUCGAUCAAACCGAAAUUCUUCUUUGCUGAAUUUUUGAUAAAUUGAAUUCAGCUCCUUCAAACGCCGUCGUUUUUAGUCAAUCUUCAUUGCUUCUUGAUAAUUCGAUCUAGGAACUUCUUGACCGUUUCGUGCUUGUGUUUAAUCGAACUUCUGAUUGUUAUUUCUGUUACUGGAGUUUCUUUUUUUUUCUUCAUCGGCGGCGAGUGUUUUUCCGACGACGGAAAUGACGUCGGGGACGAGACAACCAACGUGGAAGGAGAGAGAGAAUAACAAAAGGAGAGAGAGAAGAAGAAGAGCCAUAGCUGCGAAGAUCUUCUCCGGUUUGAGAAUGUACGGUAACUACAAGCUUCCCAAACACUGCGACAACAAUGAAGUUCUCAAAGCUCUCUGUAAUGAAGCCGGUUGGAUCGUUGAACCGGAUGGCACAACGUAUCGUAAGGGAUGCAAGCCUAUGGAGCGAAUGGAUGUGGUAGGUGGUUCUGCAAUGGGAAGCCCAUGUUCAUCUUACCACCCAAGUCCCUGUGCUUCCUACAACCCAAGCCCUGGCUCUUCUUCCUUCCCUAGUCCACGCUCAUCCUCCCAUGCUAUAAAUCCUAAUGGUGAUGCCAAUUCCCUAAUUCCAUGGCUCAAAAACCUCUCAUCUGGAUCAUCAUCAGCAUCCUCUUCCAAGCUUCCGCAGCUUUAUGUUCAUACCGGUUCCAUCAGUGCUCCUGUGACUCCUCCACUUAGCUCUCCAACUGCCCGAUCAUCUCAGACGAAAGCUGACAUCUGGGAGGAUCAGUCCACUCGUCCUGGCUGGGGCGGGCAGCAGUACUCCUUCCUGCCUUCCUCCACUCCUCCAAGCCCAGGUCGCCAAGUUCUUGACCCAGAUUGGUUUGCUGGGAUUAGGAUGCCCCAGGGUGGGCCAACUUCUCCUACAUUUAGCCUAGUGGCUUCUAAUCCAUUUGGCUUCAGGGAAGAGGUUUUCUGUGGCAGUGAUUCCCGCAUGUGGACACCUGGACAAAGUGGGACAUGUUCUCCAGCUAUAGCUGCAGGCUCUGAUCAUACUGCUGACAUACCAAUGGCUGAAGCUGUUUCAGAUGAAUUUGCCUUUGGAAGCAGUGCAGCUGGUUUGGUGAAGCCUUGGGAAGGAGAGAGGAUCCAUGAAGAUUCCGGCUCAGAUGAUUUAGAGCUCACUCUUGGUAGCUCAAAGACCAGGUAAAGUGCUGCAUAAAUGAGCUAUCCAAAAAGAAAGUGCUGCAUAAAUGAAUAGUCAGUGGUCCCCUCAAUAUGAAAUUUGACUCUGUUUGUUCUAUUCUGUAGAAAGGUUAGAAGAGGGAAUUAAGGUGAUGAAGUUGGCUAGUUGCUGUAACGGUUCCAUUGUGUGCUUGUGAAUGCAAUCUCUCUACUCAAGCGUCCUCGUUGUCACUUAAAAGCUGCUAACUCACCGAUUAAAAGAAAAGCUCGCUGAAAGAGCUUAUCCUCCUAUAGUCAGUGGAUCGCAAUUGAACAAAGUUGUAUAGACCAUGUUCACCUUAUUCAAUAAUUUGAGCUUUUCCUUUAUCUUAAAUUAAAGUAUGCCUGUCAUUUUCAUAGAGUGAAAGGAGCGUAAAUAUGGCAAAGCCGAGUGACAUUUAUUUCAAUUUUCAUUAUGAAGAUUGAAGAUAGUAGAAAGUACAUAAGUUCAUUUCUAAUGAUGAUAAGAACAACAAAAAAAAACCAAGAGCUACGGCUACCAAGCAUGUAGGGAAAUAUUAGUUGAAGAUUAUGAAAUGAGAUUUUAUUUUUAAUAAAGAUUACAAAAAUAAAAGACGGACGGGCUUUCAAGGGCAAAAUGGAGAUGCUAUGUAAUUAAAUGUUACGGAGAUGCUAUGUAUUUAAAUGUUACGUUCAAGUUAAGGGAAUUGCUCUUUUUAUUCUUAGGGUUCUUCUCUAUUACCGUAAAAAGAUUAAAAUGUUUUUAGUUA
Molecule: RNA transcript, 2106 nt
Organism: Lathyrus oleraceus (garden pea)
Lineage: Eukaryota; Viridiplantae; Streptophyta; Magnoliopsida; Fabales; Fabaceae
Gene name: BES1/BZR1 homolog protein 4
Exons: 4
Source: RefSeq, a predicted model, not a curated record